RNAcentral lists this ribosomal RNA (495 nucleotides) under uncultured bacterium. RNAcentral's name for it is "partial 16S ribosomal RNA". It matches the Rfam family "Bacterial small subunit ribosomal RNA", at positions 28 to 507 of the family's 1533-position model. The record is from RNAcentral.
GACGAACGCUGGCGGCGUGCCUAAUACAUGCAAGUGGAACGCUGAAGGAGGAGCUUGCUUCUCUGGAUGAGUUGCGAACGGGUGAGUAACGCGUAGGUAACCUGCCUGGUAGCGGGGGAUAACUAUUGGAAACGAUAGCUAAUACCGCAUAAGAGUAGAUGUUGCAUGACAUUUGCUUAAAAGGUGCAAUUGCAUCACUACCAGAUGGACCUGCGUUGUAUUAGCUAGUUGGUGAGGUAACGGCUCACCAAGGCAACGAUACAUAGCCGACCUGAGAGGGUGAGCGGCCACACUGGGACUGGGACACGGCCCAGACUCCUACGGGAGGCAGCAGUAGGGAAUCUUCGGCAAUGGACGGAAGUCUGACCGAGCAACGCCGCGUGAGUGAAGAAGGUUUUCGGAUCGUAAAGCUCUGUUGUAAGAGAAGAACGAGUGUGAGAGUGGAAAGUUCACACUGUGACGGUAUCUUACCAGAAAGGGACGGCUAACUACGUG